AAUUCAUUUGGUGAAAACCAAAGUAUUUCCCCAGCAAAGAAAGUUAGCCCAGAAACGAAAUGAGGCAAAAACACUGAGUUUGGGAUUUUUAGUCAAAGGGCGGUUACCUCUCUGUUUAGCCAAUGAUUUUCCUUUUCAACUGUUUUUUUUUAAAACAAAAAUCAACAACCCUUGAACAAAUUGAAAUAUACUACUAUACGAUCAUUUCUUCAGGAUCAAUCAACAACAACAGCCAGAUCUCUCUUUCUCUGUCUCUGUUUCUGUGAUUUUAGUUCCUCUUUUUUGAUACAUUAACGAUUGAGGCAGUGAUGAUAUUUUAUCCGGAUUCUGGGCUAACUGGAUCGGGCAUAUCGACUAUCCGACCCGUAACUUGGCUUGGCAAAUCACCGGACGGUUAGCUGCCGAUUUGGAGGCUUUUUCUAUGGAAUCGGACCCGGUGACUUUGCAGCCAUGGCGCGGUCGCCUCUCUUUUGCCCGACCUCUCUUUGCAGAUCUGAGCCUUGUAAGUACUGUGAAAUAGAAAAGUCUGAAACUUGGAGCUUGUUUGGCUAAGCUUAUAAGCUUGUUAAAUUGGCUUAUAACCACUUUUUGACUUUAUGUACGGAUUUGGCAAGGGCUUAUAAGCCAAAAAUAAGCUAUAAGCCAACUCUUGUUAUAUCCUAUUCUUUAGCUUCUUAUUAUUAAUUUCAGCACAUUUUAAAGCUUUUUUGUACCUAACGUUAUCAGUUACUCUAAACGGGCUCUUAUUCUUUUUUUGAAUUUCAACUAUUUUUUGCUACUAAGCAUGGAAUCAAGUUAUACGUCAGUGGGCAAAACAAGAAUUGUUGAUGCUUUAAAUGGUUCUCUUUGACGCGAAGCAGGAAACUAAAAUAUCAGAGACAAAGAAUGAGGUAGCAGAGAGUAGAGGAAAGUUCAAGGGCAGCUGCUCCUCUGAGCUACAAUACCUAUGAGUUCAUUUUUGCCAUAAAUGCCCUUCUGCAGUAAACUAUGUCACCACUCUACUCUAUCGCCAAAUCCUCACUCCCAAAAAGAGAAUCAAUAGAAGUAGUAACAAUACUCCCUCCGGUCCACAAUAAGUGUGUUUAAUUUUUGAUUUUGGUCCAAAAUAAGUGUCUUGUUAGGUAAUCAAGAAAAAAUUUAAUUUGUAAUUUGUUUUCUCUUUUACCCUUAUGCGCAUAUCCCUAAAAAAAUUUCUCUCUCGUCACAUUAGCUUACUAAAUAAGUGUAGUUUAGUUAUACUAGGUAAUUUUGUAUAGGAUUUAGUAUUUUCUUAAUGAUGUGUUAAAAGUAAAAUAGACAUUUAUUGUGAACCGGAUGGACUAUGGAGUAAUUAAUAAUAAUUGUAGCAAAAAUCUGAGGCUAUGAUGAUAGUUUUUAUUCGGUCUCUGAGCAAAUUGAUCAAGGCAGGAGAACAAUCGGACCUGUAACUUGGCGGGGCGACCCGGACGGUGACGACUUGCAACGGUGUUUGCAGCCAUGGCAGUGUCUCCAAUCUCUUGCCUCAGCCUUAAUAUUACGGAUCUGAGCCUCAAUUGGAAGGUUAUUAUCUUAAAUGCAGACAUAUGAGCUCUUUUCCGUUAAAUUUUGAAAUUCGCAGGUGAAAAACCCUCGAGAAUUUCCCCUAAAAAUGCAAUAAGGUUAACUGAGAAAGAAAUGAGGCAAAACAGAGAGUAUUGGGAUUUUCAUUAGAAGGGUGGUUGCCCCUCUCUGUUCGCCAUUGAUUUUCCUUCAUUUUUCAGGAAAAAAACCAACAGCUCUUGUUUAUGACAGAAGUAGACAGCGUUUGGACAUAAGAAUUGUGAAAUUUCAGAAAAAUGUAAUUUUUUUCCCAGUGAAAUCUGUGUUUACUGUGUGUGCGUGUGUGUUUAUGUUGCUGAUGGAAGUUACAUAAAGAGUGUGCAUGAUGAUGUUUCUUGUAUCUGGGCUGACCGAUCGGGGCAUAGAGAUGACCCAACCUCUAUCUUGGUGUGGCAACCCGGUAUGGCAUGUGAUUGAGAUUUCUGUCUCUCACUUGUAAUUGGUGUUUUGCAGCCAUGGCGUAGCUGACUUCUCUUUUCCUUAUAUAACACAUUCAUGAUAAGCCUACUAUAGCAUGGACCAAGUUGUAAAUAAAUACACACCUGGUUCUCUUUGACACAAAGCAGAAAACUAAAAGCUCAGAGACAGAAUGAGGGUUGCAGAGAGUAGAGUGAAGCUCAAGGGCAGCUGCUCCUCUCUGCCAUUCCUGUGAUUUCAUUUUUGCCAAAAGUGCCCUUCUGCAGUAUACUCUAACCAAACGACCCCUUAAGUAUUUCGAUUGGCUGUUACUGUUCUAUCUGCUUAUCAUCUCCAAAUCCUCACUCCAAAAAGAGAAUCAAUAGUAAUAAUAAUAAUAGUUGUAGCAAAAACCUGAGGCUGUGAUGAUAAGAAUGGAAUGCAAAUGCUCAAAGAUAUAAAUUGGAAUCAAUAGUAAUAAUAAUAAUAGUUGUAGCAAAAACCUGAGGCUGUGAUGAUAUUUUUCUUCUGUCUCUGAGCAAACCGAUUAGGGCAAGAAACAAUCGAACCCGUAUCUUGGCGGGGCAACCCAGACGGUGACGUCUUGCAGCCAGUAUUUGCAGCCAUGGCGAUGUCUCCAAUCUCUUGCCUUAUCUUCAAAUGUUACAGAUCUGAGCCUCAAUUGGAAGGUUAUUUUCUUAAAUGCAGACUUAUGAGCUUUUUUCCGUUAAAUUUUGAAAUUUGCGGGUGAAAAACCCACGAGAAUUUCUUCUAGAAUUGCAAAAAGGUUAGCCUAGAAAGAAAUGAGGCAAAACAGAGAGUUUUGAGAUUUUCAUUAAAGGGAUGGUUGCCCCUCUCUGUUCCGCCAUUGAUUUUCCUCCAUUAUCAAAAAAAACCAACACCCCUUUGUUUAUGACAAAAGCAAACUGGUAAAGUUGCCUCUAUAUGACCAGGAGGUCGUGGGUUCGAGCGAUAAAACAACCUCUUGCAGAAAUGUAGGGUAAGACUGCAUACGAUCCCUUGUGGUCCGGUAAUCCCCUUCUGGUAAACCCUUGAUUAAGCGCUUGCUUUUUUUUUUUUUCUCAAAUGCCAGCUACCAUCUUCAUAUUUAUUUCCAUAUAAUUAUGAAUGUCAAAAUGAUGUACGAUUCCGAUGUGAUAAAAGUUGGAUGUUGUGAUGGUAUACUAGUUAGUCUAUUAUUACCAUUAUUCUUAUUGUUAUUAUAAUGGAUGAGGCUGUGAUGAUUAAGGUUAUCUAGAGUUCGCGUCGGGGCAAUGGAGCGGCCCGUAUCUUGGUGGGGUGACCCGGAAAGGCCUAUUUUUAUAGUGCGACCGAGGUUUGCAGCCCUGGCAUUUGCUUUGUCUUCUUUUCCCUGAUUUUAUCACAGUUUUGAGCCUCAAAAUUGAGGGGUUUAUUUGGCCCUUUCCCCUUUUAUAAAUGGACGGAGGCCAAAAAUUUUAGGUUUUUUGUGUAUAUUGAAGGACCAUAAUAAACCUCCUCAAAGAUGACGGAUCAUUUUUCUCAAGAGAAGUGUACGCUUCUUACGUACUGUACGGACAACAACAUCAACAACAACCACCUAGUAUAGUCCCACUUAGUGGGUCUGGGUAGUGUAGCGUAUACGCAAACCUUACGCCUACCUGGGUAGAGAGGCUGUUUUCAAUAGACCCUCGGCAUCCUUCCCUCUCAGAACUUCCCACCUUGCUCUUGGGGUAACUCGGACUAUUUGAUUAUUUUCUGGAAAACCUGCUAUAUUACCCUCCAUUUGAACUGGAUUAGCCCAGAAAUGGAGAGAAUGAGUCAAGAGAGUGUAUGGGAUUGUUUUUACAAGGGUGGUUGCCCGUCUCUGCUUUGCCUGUGAUUCUCCAACUUUUAAAACAAACCAACAGCCCCUAAAAUAGAAAAAAGAGAAAGAGAUGAUAGCACUUCAGUUUCCUGGGUUUCUUUGCAUUUUUGCACCCUAAAUGCAUACUCAAAACCCAAUACAUACAACCCAUAUACACUAAGAACUAUUUUGAUCAUUUUCUUGAAAACCUUCUAUAUUAGUAUAGAAAUGGCGAGAAUUAGGUAACAGAGAGUACAUGAUUUUUUUACAAGGGUGGUUGCCCCCUCUCUGCUUUGCCUAUGAUUCUCCUUUUCUAAACAAACCAACCGCCCUUAAAAAGAAAGAAGAAUUGGGGCAUGGAGAUUACCGCCCUUACACCCGUAAUGGAACUCAAAGACCCAAUACUGACAACUAUACUACACAACUAUGCGACUUUCAGAUCUUAAUAGAGGCAGUGAUUAUGAUGAUUCUUUUCUAUUUCUGGGCUAACUAAUUGGGGCAUGGAGAUUACCUGACCAGUAUCUUGGUGUGGCAGCCUGGUAUGGCCUGUGAAUGAGACUCUUCUCUCACACAUGCAACCGGUGUUCAAUGUUUUGCAGCCAUGGCAUGGUUGGCUUCUCUUUUGCCUUUCCAUGACACAAAUGAUCUUCUGGGGGAUGAGCUUGUGAUGAAAUGUCGAAAGGUGUCCAGAGUUGGUCCGGCUUUGGAGCAGCCCAUAUCCUGGCUGGGCGACCUGGAAGGCAUGGUUGCAACCGGGUCUGCAGCCAUGGCGGUUGCAUUUCUACAUUGACUGAUUUUAUCCCAGAUUUGAGCAUCAAAAUUGAAGUAAAAGCAUGUUUGGAUUAGCUGAAUUUAAGUAGCUUUUUAGCGCAUUUUUCAAGGGGAUGUUUGGAUGGGCUUAAAAAAAGCGUGUUUCGGGAUUUGGCUUCGUAGACUUUGUUGCAGUCUACAAAGAAACAGCUGGGCUACUGGUGAAUGAUUCUGCUCUUUGCACACGCAAGGUAAAAAAAUAAUGUGUUAUAUUGUUUUGUACUGGUUAGAAUUCAAAACUCUAAAUUUCUAAAAAAAAUUCUGUGUAUAACAGCCCCUUUCAGUAGAACUGUAAACUGUUAUACUGGGAACAUCAUUGACGGAAUUCACUUUUUCAUCAGAUGAUAUCUCUUUUUAUUUUUUCUGAUGAAUUCUUUGUUCAAGGUAAGCUUAUAGCAUCACCAACUAACUGCAACCUCCUUAUGUUUGUAAAUUUCCUGUGUAAUUGGGUGUAAAACCACUUUGAUUUAGUGUUAUUCUGCUUCUUGUAGUGUGCAUAGUUUGAGGGGAGUCAUUUUUUCAUGGAAAAUGUUUUCUAGCAUUUGUUAGAUAUGAAAGGGAUUAUGAUGAUACUUCUACUUCUUUCUUUUCCGUGCUUAAUCAAUGUGCACGAAAACCACCUCUAUCCGUGAUUAUACUUCUACUUCUUUCUUUUCCGUGCUUAAUCAAUGUGCACGAAAACCACCUCUAUCCAUAUUUUGACUUGGCAUCCAAUAUGGCUUGUGAUUGAGAAUCUUCUCUUGCAAAUAACCAUCGUUUUGCAGCCAUGGCAUGGCUUUUAUCUCUUUGCCUGAUGAUAACAUAGAACUGAUUCUCAAUGUUAAGAAUAUAUAAUAUGAAAUAAUAAGACAACCGGAUUAUAUUUAAAAUGUCUAUGAUAAUAAGAUAUAACCUUUAUUAAAAAGUACGCCUAUAUGAUAACAAAAAAUUUCUUAGGAAUGAUAAUGUACUCACUUAUAGUUAUUAAAUGACAUUUGAGAUUUUGCCUUCAUAGCCUCACCUUUCAUCCUCUCUGAUCCUCUUUCUUGUUUUUUUUCUUUUUUUUUAUAGGUGCUCUGGUCUUAUGGAUGUAAAGUUUGUAAGGGUGUUGCCUCCGAUCAGCAUGCCUGUGAUAACUCUGUAUCAAGGUGCUCUGGUCUUAUGGAUGUAAAGUUUUUACGGGUGUUUCCUCCGAUCAGCAUGCCUGUGAUAACUCUGUAUUCUGCAACUGAUAAAGCAGCAACCCUUCUUUCAUGCUAGCUAGUGCUCUAAUGGUUUUUCACUAUCUGCCAUAUUUUUCACACUAUGCGCUUCUUCUUUCUUGGUCCACAUCUUUUCCUUUUAACAAAUCUCAAUCACCAUGCGCAUUAUUGAUGUUUCUUACUGUAGGCCGUGAUGAUAAAGUUUCUUGACUUCAUUGGGUUUGGGUCUGCUGGACUCAUCCUGGGGGGUAAACCAGGAUAUUGUAAGCAGAGUCUUUCCUUUGUAGCAUGCCAUCCUUGUUUGCAGCCAUUGUGGUGUCCCUUUCCUUCACCUGAUUUUAUGACAAAUCUGAGCCUGCUUAUGUACUCAUGAGUGUCACUUCAUAGAUACAACAACAACAACAACCCAGUAUAAUCCCACUUAGUGGGGUCUGGGGAGGGUAGUGUGNNNNNNNNNNNNNNNNNNNNNNNNNNNNNNNNNNNNNNNNNNNNNNNNNNNCUGGGGAGGGUAGUGUGUACGUAGACCUUACCCCUACCCUGGGGUAGAGAGGUUGUUUCCAAAUAGACCCCCGGCAUCCUUUCCUCCAAAAACUUCACACCUUGCUCUUAGGGAGACUCGAACUCACAACCUCUAGGUUGGAAGUGGGGGUUGCUUACCAUCAUAGCAACCCCUCUUGUCUUGUCACUUCGUAGAUAGACAUCUAAAAAUAGAUGAAAAUAACUUCCUAAAGAAAGAGAAGGACAAUGGUGAAAAAAAGUGAAAACUACUUUCCCUUUUGAUGAAAAAGGUAUGGUUUGAUUCUUAAUGCAGACAUACAGGUGCUUUCGGUUAAAAGUUCUCUUGUUUGAUUAGCCCAGAAAAUGGCGAGAACGGGGCAACAGAGAAUAUGGGAUCUCUUUCAAGGGUGGUUGCUUCUCUCCGCUUUGUCUAUGAUUCUCCCCCUUCUCAACUAACCAACAGCCCUUAAGAGACAGAAAGAAAAACAUAGCACUUCAGUUUCUGGUUUUCUGGAUGACUAUUUGUGAAAUUUCCCCAAUAUACAAGUGUAUCACCACAAGUACAUGGCCUUCAGAUCUUCAGUCUUUCUGCUCAUGGCCCUUUGCAUGUUUCUUUCAGAGUACUCUCAUUGUUCAUUGUAAAUGGAAACUUUAAAGUGUUCCAUUAUAAUGCAUUCUACAACAGAAAUGGGCUGUGAUGAUGCUUAUGAAUCUUUCUAUUUUUGGGCUGAUAUUUGAGCAUUGAGAUGACCCGACCCGUAUCUUGGUGUGGCAACCCGGUAUGGCUGUGAUUGAGAACUCCUCUCUCGUGCAACUGGUGUUUUGCAGUCAUGGUGUGGCUGUCUUCUGUUUUACCUUGUCAUUAUACGCGUCUGAGCCUCAAUUUGCUGAAAACAUUAGUAGGAGUUUGGACAAUAUUCAGUUGAAGUUGAGAAAUUCUCUUAAAAGCAGACUUGUGAGGUAUCUUCGGUUACAAGCUCUCAUCUAAAUUAAUUUAUAGAUUAGCGCAGAAACGGCGAGAAUGAGGCAGCAUAGUGUGGGAUUUCUUUCAAGGGUGGUUGCCCCUCUAUGUUUGCCUAUGAUUCUAUCUUUCUCAACAAACCAACGACCCUUCAAAAUGAAAGAGAAAUAGAGACAUAUAAUAGCACUUUAGUGUCUGGGUUUCCUUGCAUUUUUGCACCCUUUUAAUUUCUACUCUCACGGACUAUACAACAACUAGGUGGCCUUCAGAUCUUUUAAUGAGAGAUGAUUUUUUCAGUAUCUGGGCUAAUGAAUCCGGGCUAAUGAGACAGUGAUGAUGAUCUUUUAAUUUCUGUGUUUUUGCACCCUUUAUGUGUACUCAACACACCUUCAGAUCUUCAGCCUGUCUCCUCGUGGCUUUGAAAGCUCAUGAAAGAGGCAAUGAUUAUGGCUUUUUUUUUGGUAUCUGGGCUAUAUCUAGUUCUGGCAUUGAGAUUACCCAACCCGUAUCUUGGCGUGGCAUCCCUGUAUGGCCUGUGAUUUAGACUCUUCUCACUCGUGUAAGUGUUGAAGAAAACUGUUGUGAAUUAAAAGUUGGAUUAAUUCUGUUAAGGGUGUACAUUGUGGAAGACAAGAGGGGUUGCUCUGAUGUUAAGCAACCUCCACUUCCAACCGAGAGGUUGUGAGUUUGAUUCUCCCCAAGAGCAAGGUGGAAAGUUCUUGGAGGGAAGGACGCCGGAGGUCUAUUUGGAAACAGUCUUACCAUAACACAUCUAAGUGCAUAGCAUAUCUAGGAUUUGAACUUUGUGGGUUCGAGUUGGAGAUUUAUCACAACACAUAUGAUUUACUGUGUUGAAAAUCAAUUAUUUGUUCUUAUUAGUGAACUUUUAAACUCAUAUGCAAGGUUCGAGUCAAAGCUACUGAGUUCGGAUGAGCCCAUCUCUGGUCACACCAUGAACGGAAACUGGAAUUCUAAACUCAAGAACAAGGAUGAAGCUGCCUGCUAGGAUGGGAAGUUUCUAAGGGUUCUCUAUAUUCUGCUGCUUUCAAAAAUACAUACGUUCUUUCAUGCUUAGUGGACGCUCUUAUGGUAUUCACAAUCUGCUCUAUCUUUCUCACUAUUGCCUUAUUUCUUGGUCAUCAUCAUUUCAUUUACAAAUCUCAAUCGCUAUACCAGGAUGGCUUAAGCAGCAUUUAUUCUUUCUUGCAUGGAAUUCUUGUUUGAUGCCAUGGCGGUAUUUGGGUCUACUUAUGUACUAAUGAGUGUCACUUCAUAGGUAGCUAUCUGGAAAUAGAUGGAAAUGGAGCAACUUAUACAUAUGCCUGCAGAAAGAGAAGGAAAGUGGUGAUUGCUUCAUUUAAUUCAAAAUUCCAGAUAUUUUUAAUAAGAAAAUUAACUGAUUUUAAAACAUACAUUGUUUGUUUUUUACCUACAUAAAAGAAAACUGAUAUACAUUACUAUUUAAAAAUUGCACAAUUAGAACCUCACUUUCCCUAAAUUUUUUGCGCAAAACCUACAUAAGGAAAGUGGACAAUCACGAAAUCGCUCAACCGUACGAGCAUGACUGAGAGUCUGAGACUCACGAAACCAUAUGGAACUGUUCCAAAUUGAGUGCUAUAUAAAAUAAAAUUCAAAAAAACAUUCGGUUCCUGCAAGAUGGCUAAUCACAAUGAUACAAUUAAGGAUAUAAUAAUUUCGAAAAUGAAAGGGAAGUUGAAAGUUGGGGCUAUUUGUUUGUGGGUAGUACCAGAUUGUUACAAUUCAAACGCUAUUUUCUAGAUUGAAUUGGUUAUAUAAGACAAAAAGAUAUUAAAAAUUUGAUACUUUCUUAUAUUCGUUUUGCUGACUCUAUUUUGUAAUUUGCAUGUGUGUAUUCAUGUAUCAUUGCUUUUAUUUUUUGGUUUUUUAAUUUGCAAAUCUAAAUUAAACUUUUUAAUUUUUAUGUGCGUAUUCAUGGAGUAGUUCGUCUGAGAGGCUGGCUCAAACCAUUUCUCAAUGAAGUUUCUCUAUUUUUGAUGAGUUAGUUAAGAGUGUUUUUCAGGUUAAAAUAAUUGACGAAUUAGUGAAGUCCUUGUGAGUGAAUGAACUAUUUUAUGUCAUAUUAAUUCAAGUGUUAUUUAAAGCUAAUAGUUGUUCUACGCACACUGCUACAAUAAAUAGCACAUACAUCUGAGUCGUUAUGCGAUCAAAUCAAGCUAAUUGAGCUUAGUUUGUCAUAUCGAUACAUAUGCGGUAGGGUCCUAAAUAUUAUGAAUAUUUUGUUGUACCAAUAACUAUUUAACAAUGAUUCUCUUUAGGUUGUGUACUUCUUUUAUCAGUCAAAAACCUAUAAUGUGAUUAGAAGGCUCCGGCCAAACAAGUCGUACACCUCUAUGUUGCCUUCAGUCAUGUCCUAGAUUUCUCCAAAAAUAAGCUUAUUAGGCAGUGUGCAAGUGUAGAAACUAAAAAUGUUCUCAAAAUGGAUAGGGUGGUACUAGGGGUGUUUAAACCGAAUCGGAAAAAUCGCACUAAACCAAAAAAUCAAAUCAAACUGAUUAAAAAAUCCAACUAGGUUUGGUUCGACUUGGUUUGGUAUUGAGUAAAAAAAAUUCGAACCAAACCGAUAUAAAACAACAACAACAACAACAAUUAUCCAGUAUAGUCCCACAAAGUGGGGUCUGGGGAGGGUAAUNNNNNNNNNNNNNNNNNNNNNNNNNNNNNNNNNNNNNNNNNNNNNNNNNNNNNNNNNNNNNNNNNNNNNNNNNNNNNNNNNNNNNNNNNNNNNNNNNNNNNNNNNNNNNNNNNNNNNNNNNNNNNNNNNNNNNNNNNNNNNNNNNNNNNNNNNNNNNCAAAAACAAAAGAGCAUUAGUAAGUCUAGCAGAAAUAGCGUAAAUAAUUAUCUAAACAUAAGAACCAUAAAUAAAAUAGCAUGCAAUAAUAUCAUACAGUAACUACCAAAUAUAUAAAUAUAUAACUUUUAUUUAUAUUUUUAAGACUUUAUAGUGAUUUUUCUUUAGAAAAUGUAGAAAUAUUUGGGAUCCUCUCAUGUAUUAACCUUGAACGCGUAAAUUAACGAAAAAUUAUUAUUAGACGACUAAGAAAAUAACUAUCAUGUGUUACUAAAAAAACUCUCCCAUUAGAAUAUUUUAAUAGAUCAUAUGUUAGUCAAUUUAACAUAUAUUUACUUAUCAAAGAUUUAUCUAUAAUUUUAACUAAGUAAGAUUGAGCUAAUAUUCAUGUAACAAAAAAAACCCCGAAAGCCCGACAAAAUCGAAUCAAUUCAAACAAAUAUAGUUGGUUUGAUUUGAUUUUGAUAAAAAUCGAACCAACCCGGUGCAUGUACACCCUAGGUGGUACCUAUUGGAGGCAACCAGAGAAGAAAAAUCAGCAAUUUGACUUUUAGAGAAUGUUCAAAACAGUAUCUUACUUAAGAGGGAAUGAUGAAGGGAUAGUAUACUAGCCUUAAAAUUUAACGACUUAUUUAUAUAUUGAAAAAACUUUUAUCCUUUGAAUUACCUCUAUAUCAAAUGAUUGAAUUAAUUGAGGAAGUUAGUGUACCUUCUCUGUUGUUGCAAUUUAUUGCCGUUGAAAGUUAGAUUUUUUGGUUGGACUGUUUGUUGUCUUGGAAUUCAAUUUGAUAGUGUGGGUUUUCACCAGAAAGAUGCAUUUCUUUUAUUUUCUAUGGUAAAAGUUAGUGCUUUCAUAAUGUUUACUUGCUAACUCUUUUAUUUUUUGUAGUUGAAUACCAAAUAUAUGCUAAAAUAAAUUUGUUAAAAUGUAGCGCUAUCACAAUAGGCAUUGAAACAAUCUAUUGAAAAACUCAAAGCUUUUUCCCAUCGAAUAACAUGAUGUUGCCAGGUUCCACUGGCAAUGAUACACAUAUUUUCCACAGGCUCUAAGGGAGAGUUGAGGGGCAUAAGGAGCAACAAUCGCUAUUGAUAGUUCCCGUUUGAUGUCAUUGUAGUUUACAAACCUAGAAAUUAUUUGUUCACCCUUAUAGCACCCUAAAAUUAAUGUCUCAACGUUGAGAAUAUGACAAGGCAGCAUAAAUAUAGAAAAUAGAAGCUUAUGAACUUUUAUUCGGAGAAACAACAUUCCACACACUAGCCUCCACAACAUUAAACUCAUUAGUGAGCUCUUUCUAGGGAGCUAAUCUUCUUGCAUGAAUUACAUAUAUGGUACUCAACAACAACAAAAACCCAAUAUAAUCCCACUUAGUGGGGUCUGGGGAGGAUAGUGUGUACGCAGACCUUACCCCUACCCUUGGGUAGAAAGGCUGUUUCCAAAUAGACCACCGGCAUCCUCCCUUCAAGAACUUUCUACCUUGCUCUUGGGAAACUCGAACUCACAACCUCUCGGUUGGAGUAUUCAGUUACUCUUUUAAUUCUUACAUAGCUGUGGCACCAUCUUGGUGUGUUAUUGAAAAAGCAUGUCGAUAGCUUUAUUGAUUCUGAGAACAACUAAUAUUUUUGUCAUGGAACAACUAAUAUGAACUUUACAUUCAGAUUUUUUUAGGCAUUGACUUAUGAUAUAUCUGACAAAGGAAAACUGGUAACUUAUAGUUGAAUCAAUAAUAGCGAGAUUUCUUAAUGGUAAAUCUUUUAUGCAUAACUUUUCUCUAUCCCAAUUGGAAGUAAACUGCCUUAUGGUGCUCGAAUGCUUACCAAUCGGCUUCUUCUUUGGAAUGAAGGGAAUGCCAAUAUCAUUCUCACUUUAAGGUAUAACGCUUGUCAAAUGUGGUUCAACCAUUUUUCUCGUGUCAUAAAGGUAGCAUUCACUAUCGAGUAAAAGAUUUUUUACUCUCAUGGUCUAUCAAAGUUUAAAUGGGUUUGAGCCUUCUUAAUCAAAUCGAUGAUUGGCAAUUAUCAUUUUAAAGUUUUAUGUGAAGUAUUGAUUUGCUUGAGGAUAUGAAGCGAUGGUCAAAUAAAAGCAGUUGAGGCUCAGAAAAGAGUUCCAAUACCAUGCGCAACAUCACAAGUGAUCAAAUCUCUGCGGUAACAAUCAUUUUUGAAUUACUUCAAGUACUUCUAAGUCGGUUGUAAUACUUGCAGAAGCCACACUGACCGAGCAAAUUUGUUAUGCAAACACCACGCUCAACUUUAGAAGAACUAUGCAAUUUUUUUUGAGAACUAUUCAACUAUAUGUUCAUAUAUCUAAGGGAGUUUUUAUUAUGUUUAGACUUCUUAAUUUAAUUUUGAUGUUUCUAUUUUCAAAGGUUCAGAUUGAGUAGGUAUGCACCUAUUCUCCGUUCUUUGCAUUUCCUUCUCCCUGAUCCUUCUUUUUCUAAAGCAAUUCGGUCUACAAACUCAUGAAUUAUAAACUUUAAUGGAAACAACAUGUGUUGAGCAAAAUAAUAAUAUUUCUACAAAUACGUCGAUACCACAAUCCGCUGGUAUCGUUGAAAAGAGAACUUCUAGAAUCACAAUUUAUACAAAAAAGGUCUUUUGUAGAUUUAUACAUAUAUGCCUUUGAAUUUAGUUAUGGUAUUCUGAUAUUAUACUUUUCACAACUUUUUGCAUCCUGACUAAAAAAAUCAAACCUUUCUAUGGACACAUCAAAAUCCCAAUUCACUUAUGCCAUUGAAAACAAGACUUCUAAAGUUACAAUAUAUAAUAAAAUUCAGGUCUAGUUUAUUUGUAUAUUUAAACAGAUAUCAUUUUGAACUCAAUUGUGAAUCUCUAUCAUUAUGCUUUUUCCAACUUUGUACGGCCAUACUAAAAAAGUUAUAUCUCUCUACAAAGACGUUGAAACCAUGUUCCGCCUGUGCCAUUAAAAAGAGGACUUAAGGAACUGCAAUAUAUAAAAAGUUGAGGUCCAAUCUUUUGUCAUUUAAUACAACUAUGCUUUUGAAUUCAGUUAUGAAUUUUUGGUAUUCUACUUUUCAUAUCUUUGAGCGUUAUGACUAAAAAAAUCACUUCUAUUUGAUGUGUCGUUAGAAAGGACUUCUAGAACCACAAUAUAUACAAUAAUCAAGUCCAAAUCAUUUGUAUAUUUAUAAACAUAUUCUUUUUUACUUAGUUAUAAAUUUCUGUUAGCGUGCAUUGACUAAAUAAUUAUAUCUCUCUGCAGACAUAUCAAAAUCAUAAUCCGCUUGUGCUAUUGAAAAGAGAUUUCUGAAACUACAAUAUACACAAAAGUUAGGUCCAGAUCCUUUGUAAAUUUACCUCCUUUCUUCGGUAAUAUCCAUCUUUCUUCAUGUGAAUUGUUUUGUGAUUGUUAUGUAUUCAUUGUGGUUGAACUAUAUUUUAUACUUUAGUUGUAUCAUGAUGGUUCAUAUAUCAGGGUCUUUUAAUUACUCUCAUCGACAAUUUUAACCAUCGUUGUUGAAGUACCAUUUUUCUAGGUUGAGUCUAAUACAACAAUUAUGAAGAUGAAUUUUGUACCUUUUUCUUAAAUAGCCAAAGUACCUCAAUUAGGUUCACAAGCAGCAAACAAUAUUAUGUAUUUUUGUGUCUUCAUGUUACUCAUAAAUACGAAGAUAUUGUCAGUUAAUAACAACCUCAAUAUGAGUCAUGGAAAAAGAGUUUGGGUGUCAAUUCAAGUGGCUAAGGUUUGUGUACCAAAUAUUUUAUUAAGUCAUCAAACUUGUGUUUCUACUAAUUAUUCUUUUUAUUGCUUUGAUAAAGUUUUUGUGCAAAUUUUCGAUACACUACUGCUUCUUUAUGAGGUUCAUAUACAUUUUAUUUUUCGUGUAUCAAAACUAAAAAAUCGUCACUCUUGCCUUAAUUGUUCACCUGUAGAUUCGUCAAGUCCACUAUACUCCUUGCCCCAAAGGCGGAUGCAACGUUAUAUAAUUAGGUAAUGAGUCUGAACCUCUAAUCUUAAAAUAUAAUAGGUUUCAAGCUAAAAAUGUGCACUCAUCCAGUUUAAAUUCGGGUUUCUCCUUACCUUGUCGAAGGCUAAUCAUGCUCGAACAUAUGUGAAGAUGGUUGGUGACACUAAUACAAGUGCCUAUUCAAUGGGCAUGAUUUGAUCAAGCUGUUGCUAUUUGGGAUUUUAUUUUGUGACUGAUUCUUUCUCAAUUUACAUUGACCUAUGGCCUUAAAUAUUAAGCCAUAACAUGCUUCACCGUUAAAAAAAAUCGUGACGGCCGAUAAAGUGCACGUUAAAUAUAGUCAAAGUCAAAAGUACAUAAGAAACAAUAAGUACUCCAUAUCAAAACUAUGAAACGAUUUUUACAUAGCAAUUUUGAAGUACAACAACAUAACAACAAUUUUGAAGUAGUUAUUGACAAUUUAUUUUAAAGUUUCCUUGAACCACUGAUUGACUUUAAGAUAUGAGGCAGCCGUCAAGCGAGAGUAAUUAAGGCUCGGAAAGCAACUGCAACACCAACCACAUGACCACAAUUGAUCAAAUCUCUACCGCUACGGUAAUUUUGAUUUACUUCAGACACUUCCGAGUCAGAUAAUACUUGUGGAAGCCACCCUACUCAAGCAACUUUGGUAUGCAAACAACAAACAGAAAAACCAAAAAUAAAAAAUUAAAUUCAAUGCAAUCAUGGAGGAUUGGAGGGUUUAUCAUUUCAAGUAUCAAUUUGAUUGAUGAAUAUAAAGAAGGGAUUUUUACCUAUAUAUACCAUAUAGCAAACCUCAUUACCAAAUUUGUGUAUGGUUUGGUAUUUACCUGCAUAUACGAUGUUUUGUUUACAAAAAUUGUGCCAAACUAAAAAUAGAUAGAUUCUACCCUAAAAAAGGCUCCAAAUUUGUAGGAAUCACAUUUAACGGUGAUUCUAUCACCAUUAAUUUCGAAAUUUAAUUUGAAAGAAAAUCUAUUGCAGCGUAAUUCUCUCCUUCUCCAUAUAUUUUCCACCGUUGAUAGCUAUUAAAAAGCUUGAAAGCUUUGAAUUCAAAUUUGAAUUUUCAAAAAUCAUUAUUNNNNNNNNNNNNNNNNNNNNNNNNNNNNNNNNNNNNNNNNNNNNNNNNNNNNNNNNNNNNNNNNNNNNNNNNNNNNNNNNNNNNNNNNNNNNNNNNNNNNNNNNNNNNNNNNNNNNNNNNNNNNNNNNNNNNNNNNNNNNNNNNNNNNNNNNNNNNNNNNNNNNNNNNNNNNNNNNNNNNNNNNNNNNNNNNNNNNNNNNNNNNNNNNNNNNNNNNNNNNNNNNNNNNNNNNNNNNNNNNNNNNNNNNNNNNNNNNNNNNNNNNNNNNNNNNNNNNNNNNNNNNNNNNNNNNNNNNNNNNNNNNNNNNNNNNNNNNNNNNNNNNNNNNNNNNNNNNNNNNNNNNNNNNNNNNNNNNNNNNNNNNNNNNNNNNNNNNNNNNNNNNNNNNNNNNNNNNNNNNNNNNNNNNNNNNNNNNNNNNNNNNNNNNNNNNNNNNNNNNNNNNNNNNNNNNNNNNNNNNNNNNNNNNNNNNNNNNNNNNNNNNNNNNNNNNNNNNNNNNNNNNNNNNNNNNNNNNNNNNNNNNNNNNNNNNNNNNNNNNNNNNNNNNNNNNNNNNNNNNNNNNNNNNNNNNNNNNNNNNNNNNNNNNNNNNNNNNNNNNNNNNNNNNNNNNNNNNNNNNNNNNNNNNNNNNNNNNNNNNNNNNNNNNNNNNNNNNNNNNNNNNNNNNNNNNNNNNNNNNNNNNNNNNNNNNNNNNNNNNNNNNNNNNNNNNNNNNNNNNNNNNNNNNNNNNNNNNNNNNNNNNNNNNNNNNNNNNNNNNNNNNNNNNNNNNNNNNNNNNNNNNNNNNNNNNNNNNNNNNNNNNNNNNNNNNNNNNNNNNNNNNNNNNNNNNNNNNNNNNNNNNNNNNNNACAUAUAUCCCAAUUUAUGUUAUUUAAUCCAUUAUUUUCCUUAUAAACAAGAGAUUCAUUAUAUGCUUCGGUAAGAAUGGGUUUGCACAUAAAGGCAAGUACUAACAUCUCAUAUGUACUAUUCCACCUUGUUGGAAUAUCAGUUGUUAGGUAUUUUGCUUUGUGAUUUUGGUUUUAAGACUGGUAUUUUAUUUACUUCGUAAUGUUCGACCAUACUCAUCAAUAACGGGUAUAUAUCGACACGAGCCACUUGCAUAUUUUGUUUACUUCGUUAUAACAAGGAGAAACCAAAAAAGCUUCUUCUUAAUUAUUUCUUCCAUAUAGAAAAGUUCUCUUAUUUUCCUAAUUUCAGGUUUGAAAUGAGUAAUUUCAUUAGGAAAGAGAAGAGGAAAAAAAGAAAAAAGGAAUAUAUGCUCCUAAAAUCAUGCCUAGAGGUGAAACAUAUGCAACCAAACAGAACACUAGGAAAGAGAAGUGGAAAAAAAGAAAAAAGGAAUAUAUACUCCUAAAAUCAUGUCUAGAAUAAAUGUAGCAAUUAUUAUACCCGUAAUUUGAAUUAUGGUACAUAAAUUGAAAUUUGGUAUGCUUAAAUGUAAUAAACACAAACCUUAAACAUGGGAGGUAAUAAGAUUUGCUAUAUAUAUAUAUAUAUAUAUAUAUGUAAAAAUCCCUAUAAAGAAAUGUCAUGUAAUCGAUCGAGCGAUAUUUAUUGCAUAACGUGUGGAGUCAUAUUUUGCUCUCUAGAUACGACCGAGCGAUAAAAUAGUAUUAAAUUGUGAUUACUAAAUAUAUAUAUAUAUAUAUAUAUAUAUAUAUAUUCAUUUUAAAGUUUUAUGUGAAGUAUUGAUUUGCUUGAGGAUAUGAAGCGAUGGUCAAAUAAAAGCAGUUGAGGCUCAGAAAAGAGUUCCAAUACCAUGCGCAACAUCACAAGUGAUCAAAUCUCUGCGGUAACAAUCAUUUUUGAAUUACUUCAAGUACUUCUAAGUCGGUUGUAAUACUUGCAGAAGCCACACUGACCGAGCAAAUUUGUUAUGCAAACACCACGCUCAACUUUAGAAGAACUAUGCAAUUUUUUUUGAGAACUAUUCAACUAUAUGUUCAUAUAUCUAAGGGAGUUUUUAUUAUGUUUAGACUUCUUAAUUUAAUUUUGAUGUUUCUAUUUUCAAAGGUUCAGAUUGAGUAGGUAUGCACCUAUUCUCCGUUCUUUGCAUUUCCUUCUCCCUGAUCCUUCUUUUUCUAAAGCAAUUCGGUCUACAAACUCAUGAAUUAUAAACUUUAAUGGAAACAACAUGUGUUGAGCAAAAUAAUAAUAUUUCUACAAAUACGUCGAUACCACAAUCCGCUGGUAUCGUUGAAAAGAGAACUUCUAGAAUCACAAUUUAUACAAAAAAGGUCUUUUGUAGAUUUAUACAUAUAUGCCUUUGAAUUUAGUUAUGGUAUUCUGAUAUUAUACUUUUCACAACUUUUUGCAUCCUGACUAAAAAAAUCAAACCUUUCUAUGGACACAUCAAAAUCCCAAUUCACUUAUGCCAUUGAAAACAAGACUUCUAAAGUUACAAUAUAUAAUAAAAUUCAGGUCUAGUUUAUUUGUAUAUUUAAACAGAUAUCAUUUUGAACUCAAUUGUGAAUCUCUAUCAUUAUGCUUUUUCCAACUUUGUACGGCCAUACUAAAAAAGUUAUAUCUCUCUACAAAGACGUUGAAACCAUGUUCCGCCUGUGCCAUUAAAAAGAGGACUUAAGGAACUGCAAUAUAUAAAAAGUUGAGGUCCAAUCUUUUGUCAUUUAAUACAACUAUGCUUUUGAAUUCAGUUAUGAAUUUUUGGUAUUCUACUUUUCAUAUCUUUGAGCGGAUGGAUAGGUCUUUAGAGAUGCCCCCUCAUCUAAAAAAUCAUAGUUCUUGUCCCAUUUUAUCAAUUUACGCAUUUAAAAUAAAUAUAUUACAUCACCGGUUCCAAGUUUUAAACCACUAGUUAUAGUUGAAUGCAGUUUAACUGACAUGUCUUACUUUAAUUUCAUUAUCUUAUGGUGUUGUGUUCAAUAGUAAAGUUUGUAUUCACUUGAUCUACAAAUUUAUUUGCAUUACACCUUUUAGGAUACAAUUCUUUUUCACAUAUUGAGUAAACGCGAUUAUUUCAUGCACUAAGUUACCUCCUAUAAUUUUGUAAUCAACUUUAUUUGUUGGUUUUAUUCUUAGCGUACGGUAGACGGGUAAAGGGUGUUAAUUUACCUCGAUUUGUAAGGUGAAUAUUUAUAAUAUAUUCUAACAAAUUGACCAAAAAAAAUGACCUACGAAUCGGUAAAAACAUCUAUCCAUAGUGAAACGGUACCAGGAAAAUUACCUAAAGAAUGUAAAAAGUAUUUACAAGAAUCAAAUUACUACUUAGGAGUAGUAACUAUAAGUAAGAUGUUGAUAAAUAUUACUCCAUGUGCCUUAAUUUACAUAAUACUUUCGCUUUUCAAGAUCCAAACUUCUUAAUUUUGCGAUAUAUUUGGAUAUCAAUUUUUUUAGUAUACCAAAUUACAUAUUUGAAAACUAUGUAAAAAAAGUUAUAAGUCACAAUAAUUGAUAAUUCAGUAUACUAAAAAGUCAUACGAAAAGAUUACAGUGAAAGACUAAUUUAUUUGACUCUCGAAAUCUGAAUAUCUUCUAUUAAUUAUCCCGAGAUUAGUUUUACCACCUUUUCAUAGGGAUAAAAAAUUAUUAUAGUUCCAAAAUUAAUAAUAUUGAACUUUUCUACCAACCAAACAUGGUAUAAAUUCUUCUUAGAUUUAUUUAUGAGAUUAAUUAUUUUUAAUCUCUUAUACCAAAGCAGUCCUAAAAUAGUCAUUACUAUUAGCUGUCACUUAUUAAAGUUCAUGGUUAGUAUAAAAUGAUAUUUAAAUUGUAUGGGGUCGUUUGGUUUGAAUACGGCUUAUGCUGGGAUAAGUUUUAUUGGAAUAAGUUAUGUCGGGAUUAGUUAUGUUAUUACUAUUUUUAUCUACUGUUUGGUAUAUUGUAUUAAAAAUAACAAUUACAUGAUUUCUAAGAAGAAGGUAUAAGUUAUCCUGACACUAAUUAUCCCACCCUCUACAAGGUAUAAGUUAUCCAUGUACUAAUUUUAAUCAUGGAAUAACAUAUACCAGAUUUGCUACUAAACAAAGUAUUAAGAUGACAUUAAAUUUUUAUACCAACACUAUAUCUAUUUAUAUCUCAUACCAAACGACCUCUAAGGGGUCGUUUGUUAUGAGGUAUCAGUGUGGUAUAAAAUUUUGGUGGUAUAAAAUUUUAAUACCACCCUAAUACUCUGUAUGAUUAGCAAACCAGGUAAAAGUUUUAUCGGUGUUAACACCGAUAUAACUUAUACCUUAUAGAAGAUGUGGUAAUUAGCACUGAUAUAACUUAUACCUUCUUCUGAGAAAUUAUGCAGUUGUCAUUCUUAAUACAACAUAUCAAACAAUGAAUAAACAAUAAUUCCAACAUAAUUAAUUCCAGCAUAAUUUAUCCCAAUAUAACUUAUUCCCGCAUAACUUACACCAGGAUAAAUCAAGUUCCAACAUAACGACCCCUAAAUGAAUACUCUAUAACUUAAGCUAGCGUUUGGUCAUAGAGUCUAAAAUUUAUUAUGAAAGAAUUUUAUUUGGAUAAAAUUUGGUUUGAAAAUAAAAAUGUGUCAAACAUACAUUUUCAAAACAUAAUUUUCAAAUUUAUUUUUUAAAAAAAAUGUAUAUUACUAUUAUUUAUAGAUAAAUUGCCACUUAACCCCUUCUAGAUUCUUCCAAGCAAGAGUGCAUUAUUAUAACAAGAGAACACAAAAAAGUAAAAGAUGGAAAUUCAUUUGGUGAAAACCAAAGGAUUUCCCAAGCAAAAUUAGUUUAGCCAAUGAUGUUGAAAAUUGAAAUUUAUUAGUCAAAGGAUAAAGAACUUUCUGCAUUUUGCUUUUGGGUCCUUAUUGUCACUGUACCUUUAUUUACAAUAAUAGUAUUUUUAUGUUUCUCUUUAGUACUUACAAAAAAUCAUGACAAAGAAUUUGAAAAAUUAGUGAGACCCCUGACAGGAGAAAGUCCAAAAUUACGGUGAGAAUAGAAGUAACAUUAAAGGUGUCAAUGGAUAUUCAAAAAUUGAAUGAACCGCACCGUAUCAAAUCGAUUUUUAUGUUUUUUUAAGAAAUCUUAUAUUUUUAUAUAAAUUUAUAAUCGCACCGAUAAUUAGGGUAGGUUUUUUAUAUUUUAUAAAAAUAGACUGAAAAAAUACCAAACCAUAUCGAAUAAAUUUUACAAGUGAAAAAUAUAUUUAUUUAAACACAAUAAUGCAUUGGGCCUUGGAAUUAUGAAAACUAUUACAAGUCAACAAGUUAUUAAACUCUAAAUACUAAUUCCUAAAAUCUAUUAUGCUACUUCUACCUAAACUAAGUUAUUUCAAGUAUCUUUAUUAGCAAGACACAAAGAAUUCUAGUGAUUAUGAGUGACAAACUAUAAAGUAUUGAAUAUGUUUCCUUUCUAUCUUUUUGAAUAGUUUAUCUUCUAUAGACUUUAUUCUCGAGUCCCAUCUUGGUAUAUUUUUCAACUCGUAUGAUUUACAUUGUCCUUCCAUUUGUUUGAUUUCUUUUAACUUGUAGAAUAGUUGAUGGAUCUAUACUCCAGCCAUCUUUUUUUUAAUUCAUCACCCUUUAAACAGUAAAAAUGUCUAGAGAGUUUUGCUAAAUCCUAUAAAAGAAGGUAUGUUAUUGCAUUCUAUUUCUACUGGUGAAUUUUACAUGAUAUCUAAAAAAAUAUCGAAAAUUAACCAAACCAUACCGAUACCGAAGAAAAACCGACAUGAUUGGGACGGUUUCAAAAAAAUUAAUUUUAAUUAUAUAUAAUAGAAUAAACGAAAAAAUGAUAUGGUAUGAAUUUUAUAAAAUAACCGUCUGAACCGAACCAUUAACACCUUUAAAUAACAUAAUGUAUAAUUAAAUAAUAUAAAUUAUAUAAGUUGGGUCCGGGCGAAGACCGAGCUAUCCCUGCUUACUUAGGACAUAGGAGUAUCAAAUUUUUACUGAUAGUAUAAAAGAAUAUUUAGAUUUAACUUAAAUUUAUAGAUAAAUUACCACUUAAUCCGUUCUAGAUUCCCCCAAUCCAGAGUGUAUUUAUUAACUAUUUAUAUCAAAGGUGAAAGAUGGAAAUUCCUUUGGUUUCCCAAGCAAAGAAAGUUAGCCCACAACAACAACAACAAUCCAUUGUAAUCUCACCAAGUGGUAUUUAGGGAGGGUAAUAUAUACGUGGACCUAAGCUGUUUCCAAAUAAAUCCCCGACAUCCUUCCCUCCAGAUACUUCCCACCUUGCUUUUGGGGAGACUCAAACUCACAACCUCUCGAUUGAAAGUGGGUUGCUUACCAUCAGUGAUGCUCCUCUCUACAAUUCCUGUGAUUUCAUUUUUGCCAAAUUCCCUUCCGCAUUAUACUCUAACCAAACGACCCCUUAAGUAUUUCGAUUGGCUAUUAUUGGUCUCUCUGCUAAUCAUCUCCAAAUCCUCACUCCAAAAAGAGAACCAAUAGUAAUUGGUGAGCUAUUUUAUAAAAUAUAAAAGUUUGAGAUAAAUUUUUAAAAGAUAUAAUAGUAAUAUUUUGUGUGCGCAAUUUAAAAUUUGGGAUUUUUGUAAAAAUAUAGAUAAAAUUUAUGGCGAAAUAUAAAAUAAAAUUUAAAAUUAUUUUGGACUUAGGACCCACGUGCUGUUCAUUGGUUCGAAGUCUUCCGACAUUAACCUUAAAGUUUGAUCCAAAGUUCCAAACACCAAAGUAAUCACUUUAAAUAAAUUGCCACAUAACUCCUUCUAGAUUCUUCCAAGCAAGAGUGUAUGCUUAUAACAAGAGAACACAUAAAGUGGUGGAAUUCACCAAAGGAUUUUCCCAGCAAAGAAAGUUUAGCCCAGAAAAAAAAAAUGAGGCAAAAAUAGAGAGCUUGGAUUUUUAUUCAAAGGGUGGUUGCCCCUCUCUGUUUAGCCAAUGAUUUUCCUUUUUCCACUUUUAAAAAAAAAAUCAACAGCCCUUGAAUUAAUGGAAAUACAUAUAGUCAUUUCUCCAGCAUCAAUCAAAAACAGCCAGAUUUCUCUUUCUCUAUCUUUGUUUCUGUGAUUAGUUCCUAACAAUUGAGGCAGUGAUGAUAUUUUAUCCGGAUUCUGGGCUAACUGGAUCGGGCAUAGCGACUAUCCGACCCGUAACUUGGCCUGGCAAAUCACCGGACGGCUAGCUACCGAUUCGGAGGCUUUUUCUUUGCAUGCAACCGGACCCGGUGAUUUUGCAGCAAUGGCGCGGUCGCCUCUCUUUUGCCCGAUCUCUCUUUGCAGAUCUGAGCCUCUUAGUUACGUACUGUGAAAUUGACCUAAAACUUAUUUUUCUUUGAAUUUCAACCAUUUUUUUUGUUCCUAUGCAUGGAAUCAAGUUGUACGUCAGUGGGCAAAAUAAGAAUUGUUUAUGCUUUAAAUAGUUCUCUUUGACACAGAGCAGAAAGCCAGAAUCUCAGAGUCAGCGAAUGAGGGUUGCAGAGAGUAGAGAGAGGCUCAAAGGGCAGCUGCUCCUCUCUACAAUACCUAUGAUUUCAUUUUUGCCAAAAAUGCCCUUCUGUAGUAAACUAUGUCCAAACGACCACUCUACUGUAUCUCAAAUCCUCACUCCCAAAGUGAGAAUCAAUAGUAGUUAUAAUAAUACAACAACAACCCAGUAUAAUAGUAGUAAUAAUAAUAAUUGUAGCAAAAUUCUGAGGCUGUGAUGAUAUUUUGUUCUUCUGUCUCUGAGCAAAAUUAUUAGGACCGGAGAACAAUUGAACCCGUAUCUUGGCGGGGCGACCCGGACGGUGACGACUUGCAACCGGUGUUUGCAGCCAUGGCGGUGUCUCCAAUCUCUUGCCUUAUCUUCAAAUAUGACAGAUCUGAGCCUCAAUUGGAAGGUUAUUUUCUUAAUCUUAAGAGCUCUUUUCCAUUAAAUAUUGAAAUUCGCAGGUGCAAAACCCACGAGAAUUUCCCCUAAAAAUGCAAAAAGGUUAGCCAGAAAGAAAUGAGGCGGAACAGAGAGUAUUGGAAUUUUCAUUAGAAGGGUGGUUGCCCCUCUCUGUUCCUCCAUUGAUUUUCCUCCAUUUUCAAAAUAAACCAACAACCUUGCUUUAUGACAAAAGCAGAAGCAGACAGUGUUUGGACAUAAGAAUUUUAAAAUUCCGGAAAAAAGUAAAAAAAAAUUCCAGUGAAAUCUGUUUUUUACUUUUUGUUUGUUUGUGUGUGUGUUCAUGUUGCUGAUGGAAGUUACAUAAAGAGGCAGUGAUGAUGAUGUUUCUUGUAUAUGGGCUAACCGAUUUGGGCAUUGAGAUGACCCAAUCCCUCUUGGCCUGGCAACUCGGUAUGGCAUGUGAUUGAGAUUUCUGUCUCUCACUUGCAAUUGGUGUUUUGCAGCCAUAGCGCAGCUGACUUCUCUUUGCCUUAUCAUAACACAUUCAUGAUAAGCUUGUUUGACUCAGAAGAUAUUGGAAACUUUUUGAAUAAAAUCAAUCAAAGAAAAUGAAGGGAUAAGUCUUAGCUAAGCAUAAUGAUCUCUAGAACAGAAGAUAGACCAGGAGAAUGUAGAGGAUAAAAACUUUUGUAUCUCCUUUGAAAGAAAAAAUCAACAAUAAUCCAGUCAGUCGUUUAUGUAAACACACACACCAGAGGGCAAGACAAGAUUAUCAAUGCUUUAAAUGGUUCUCUUUCACACAAAGCAGAAAAGUAAAAGCUCAAAGCUCAGGGACAAAGAAUGAGGGUUGCAGAGAGUAGAGUGAAGCUCAAGGGCAGCUGCUCCUCUCUACAACAACAACAACCCAGUAUAAUCCCACUUAGUGGAGUUUGGGGAGGCUAGUGUGUACGUAGAUCUUACCCCUACCCUGGGGUAGAGAGGCUGUUUCCAAAUAGACCCCCGGCAUCUUUCCCUCCAAGAACUUCCGACCUUGCUCUUGGGGGACUCGAACUCACAACCUCUCGGUUGGAAGUGAGGUUGCUUACCAUCAAAGCUGCUCCUCUCUACAAUUCCUGUGAUUUCAUUUUUGCCGAAUGCCCUUCUGCAUUAUACUCUAACCAAACGACCCCUUAAGUAUUUCGAUUGGCUAUUAUUGGUCUCUGCUAAUCAUCUCCAAAUCCUGACUCCAAAAAGAGAAUCAAGAGUAAUAAUAAUAAUAAUUGUAGCAAAAAUCUGAGGCUGUGAUGAUAUUUUUUCUUCUGUCUCUGAGCAAAUCGAACUCACUCCAAAAAGAGAAUCAAUAGUAAUAAUAAUAAUAAUUGUAGCAAAAAUCUGAGGCUGUGAUGAUAUUUUUUCUUCUGUCUCUGAGCAAAGCAAAUCGAUUAGGGCAAGAGAACAAUCGGACUUGUGUCCUGGCGGGGCAACCCGAAUGGUGAUGUCUUGUUGCGGGUAUUUGCAGCCAUGCUGGUGUCUCCAAUCUCUUGCUUUAUCUUCAAAUAUUACAGAUCUGAGCCUCAAUUGGGAAGUUAUUUUCUUAAAUGCAGGCUUAUGAGCUCUUUUUUGUUAAAUUUUGAAAUUCGCAGGUGAAAAACCCACGAGAAUUUCCCCUAUAAAUGCAAAAAGGUUAGCCCAGAAAGAAAUGAGGCAAAACAGAGAGAAUUGGGAUUUUCAUUUGAAGGGUGGCUGCCUCUUUCUCUGUUGCCAUUGAUUUUCCUCCAUUAAAAAAAAACACAGAAAAAACAGCCCUUGAUUAUGACUGUUUACCCUCGAAAUCGGAUAACAAUUGAGUUUGUAAUUGGUUUUAAGGGUAUGCGGAUUAAUUCGACAUAAAUGCCAUUUUCGAAAUUUUUUUCCAUUUUUUUUUUGGAAUUUUACAAUUCUUAUGUCCAAACGCCCACAAAGUGACACAUACGGAAAUUCAUUUGUUGUGAAACCAACGGAUUUCUCGCAAAGAAAAGUUAGCCCAGACAAGAAAGAAAAAAUGAGGCAAAAACAGAGAGGUUGGGAUUUUUAUUCAAAGGGUAGUUGCCCCACUCUGAUUAGCCCAUGAUUUUCCUUUUUCCACUUUAAAAAAAAUCAACAGCCCUUAGAAUUUGUUUGACUCAAAAGUUAUUGAAUACUUUGUAAGCAUAAAACAAUCAAAAUAAAUUAAGGGUAAAUCAUAGCAAAUCAUAAUAAAUCAUUGGACCAAACGAUAGAAAUGAAAUAUAGGCACAGAGAAUUAGAAGGAAAUAUACUGGGAGACUUCAUUGAUUGUGAUGAUUUGAUCUGCCUUUUCUUGAAGAUGUUCAGAGCCAUUGUACUUACAAUGGUGUUCUUUUCCCAUCAUUACAUGAGUAUCAUUUUGUAGUUUUCUGUCCCGAACAGUGUCGAAGAAGAAGCCCUCCUUAAGGUUCUCUUUCUUGAUAUUUAUAGCUGUGAGCUCCAUGAGCUGGCAAUGAGUGGUCGUAGUUAUGUUGAGGAUCCGUAUCCAUAGCGCGGAAGGGCCGUAACCCAUUCGCUUAUCUCGGAGUCAAUUGCAAUCAUUUUAGAGUGGUCAUAUCAAUUAUCAGUCAUGGAUCUGACUAGGGCGGAGCUGUUUUCGUAACCGCUGUAAGGUCAGAUUUUUACCAAUACAGAAUUCCUGGAAAUACAUACUAUUAUACCGUCAUUUCUUCAGCAUCAAUCAACAACAACGGCCGGAUCUCUCUUUUCUCUGUCUCUGAUUCUGUGAUUUUAGUUCCUCUUUUUUGAUACAUAACAAUUGAUGCAGUGAUGAUAUUUUAUCCAGAUUCUGGGCUAACUCUGGGCUAACUGGGUCGGUCAUAGAGACUAUAUGACCUGUAACUUGGCUUGGCAAAUCACCGACGGUUAGUUGACGAUUUGGAGGCUUUUUCUUUGAUGCAACCGGUGAUUUUGCAGCCAUGUCGCAGUCGACUCUCUUUUGCCAGAUCUCUCUUUGCACGUCUGAGCCUCGUAAAUACUGUGAAAUAGAAACAUCUAAAACUUAUUCUUCUUUGAAUUUGAACUACUUUUUGCUCCUAAGCAUGGAAUCAAGUUGUACGUCAGUGAGCAAAACAAGAAUUGUUGACACUUUAAAUAGUUCUCUUUGACACAGAGCAGAAAACCAAAAGGUGAGAGAUAGUGAAUGAGGGUUGCAGAGAGUAGAGGGAAGCUCAAAGGGCAGCUGCUUCUCUCUACAAUACGUAUGACUUCAUUUUUGCCAAAAAUGCCCUUCUGCAGUAAACUAUGUCCAAACGACCACUCUACAGUAUCUCCGAAUCCUCACUCCCAAAAAGAGAAUAGUAGUUAUAAUAAUACUAAUUGUAGCAAAAAUUUGAGGUUGUGAUGAUAAUUUGUUCUUCUGUCUCUGAGCAAAUUGAUUAGGGCAGGAGAACAAUGGGACCCGUAUCUUGGUGGGGCGACACGUACAGUGACGACUUGCAUCGGUGUUUGCAGCCAUGGCGGUGUCUCCAAUCUCUUGCCCUAUCUUCAAUAUUACAGAUCUGAGCCUCAAUUGGAAAG
Molecule: long non-coding RNA, 26388 nt
Filed under: Nicotiana benthamiana
Lineage: Eukaryota; Viridiplantae; Streptophyta; Magnoliopsida; Solanales; Solanaceae
Description: long non-coding RNA (NBEN_LNC010850)
Source: RNAcentral